CGGGGCUUAAAGUCUUGUAAUUGGAAUGAUGGGAAUUUAAACCUCUUCCAGAGUAUCAAUUGGAGGGCAAGUCUGGUGCCAGCAGCCGCGGUAAUUCCAGCUCCAAUAGCGUAUAUUAAAAUUGUUGCAGUUAAAAAGCUCGUAGUUGAAUUUCUGCUGCAUUGCUUGUGUCCCUCUGGGGUCUGUGCAUUCGGCUUUUUUCGGACGGAGUUUCUUUGUCUGAAUGUUUACUUUGAGAAAAUUAGAGUGCUCAAAGCAGGCUUUCGCCUUGAAUAGUUUAGCAUGGAAUAAUAAAGUAGGACUUUGGUUCUAUUUUGUUGGUUUUAGGUACCAAAGUAAUGGUUAAUAGGAACAGUUGGGGGCAUUCGUAUUUAACUGUCAGAGGUGAAAUUCUUAGAUUUGUUAAAGACGAACUACUGCGAAAGCAUUUGCCAAGGAUGUUUUCAUUAAUCAAGAAC
Molecule: ribosomal RNA, 458 nt
Filed under: Theileria annulata
Lineage: Eukaryota; Apicomplexa; Aconoidasida; Piroplasmida; Theileriidae
Description: SSU rRNA
Rfam family: Eukaryotic small subunit ribosomal RNA
Source: RNAcentral